Non-coding RNA from Rattus norvegicus (Norway rat), 69 nucleotides. The record is from Rfam. Lineage: Eukaryota; Metazoa; Chordata; Mammalia; Rodentia; Muridae.
GGGGAUUUAGCUCAGUGGUAGAGCGUUUACCUAGGAAGCGCAAGGCCCUGGGUUCGAUCCCCAGCUCCG